Molecule: ribosomal RNA, 777 nt
Filed under: uncultured Neocallimastigales
Lineage: Eukaryota; Fungi; Neocallimastigomycota; Neocallimastigomycetes; Neocallimastigales
Description: partial large subunit ribosomal RNA
Rfam family: Eukaryotic large subunit ribosomal RNA
Source: RNAcentral
UACGACUACAUAUCAGGCAUAUCAAUAAGCGGAGGAAAAGAAACUAACAAGGAUUCCCUUAGUAACGGCGAGUGAAGCGGGAAGAGCUCAAAUUUGAAAUCUUCAAGGUUUUACCUUGACGAAUUGUAGUUUAAAGAAGCGUUUUCUGUUGGAGUUUUCGGUAAAAGUUCUUUGGAAUAGGACAUCAUAGAGGGUGAGAAUCCCGUAUUUGACCAUUAUUUCCAGCUGUGUGAUACACUUUCAAAGAGUCGGAUUGUUUGGGAAUGCAGUCCAAAAUGGGUGGUAAAUUUCAUCUAAAGCUAAAUACUGGCGAGAGACCGAUAGCGAACAAGUACCGUGAGGGAAAGAUGAAAAGAACUUUGAAAAGAGAGUUAAACAGUACGUGAAAUUGUCAAAAGGGAAGCGUUUGACACCAGUGUUGUUUUCUCGAAAAUCAAUUAAAAAAGAUUGGAUUUUGUGUUGUAUUGACUUUAUCAGCUUUCUUCACUUUUUUCCUAUCUUUUUUAAUGCACUUUUCGUUUAACAAGUCAACAUCAGUUUCUUUUGUUGUAAAAGAGUCAUUGGAAGGUGGCUUUCUUUUCGGAGAAAGUGUUUAUAGCCUUUGACUUCUGCAAUCGGAGAGACUUGAGGUCUGCAGCGUAGAUCCUUCGGGGUUAGAUACAUUUGUGCUAAGUUAUAGCCUUUUCAUAGACAACUUGUUGACUAUGAUCAGUCUAGUAGCUUACUCGCUGAUGUUAUUUUACCUACGCUUAGGAUGUUGACGCGCGUGUGUGCGUG